UCGGUAACUACGCCAUGGACAUCAACUGUUGGUAGCUAUGCCUUAAGUCAGGUCUUGUUGCUGCUGUUAAGGAAGGACAGUUGAAAUAACAAAAUAGUGUGGCAGCCUCUAAGUUUCAUGUGUUUUCCUAGUCCUAUGGACUCCCCUUCUCUCCAGCUGGGAAUAUUUCAGUCUGAAGGAAAUACAGACAGAAUACAUAGAUGCUUGCUUCCUCAAAACUACUGAGAAAGAUGGACUGUCAUAAUGAUGAGCAUAAUAAUUGUGUGUAACAUACUAAUGCAUACAUACUUAUGUACUCCCUGGAAUCUUCCACAUUCUACUAAAUAGAAGUGCUUGUCAGCUUCAGACACAGCAGUCAACAUCCUUCACAAGUGAGCACAGAUGAAAGCGUUCACUCUAGUACAGAUUCAAGACGCAUUCUGUGAAGCAUUUAUCUAAUUAUUCUUUAUCAAUAAAAGCUCUGGAAUCAGAUAUCAAGCACAAAGCAAAACAAAGAUGCCUAAGAAAACGUCUGCUCAGCUUUCAAUGCAUCUAAGAAAAGAUCUGAGUGGAAAAUGCCGCAAAUGAGAAGAGUACACAUUGCCGUGAGGAUUUGCUUUUCUGAAGUAAUCAGUGCCUCCUUAAGCUUCAGGCUUCCUGGGAGCCUUUGAAGUGGAAUUCAAGACACAAAGUAAAGCUGUACUGUGGCUUUAAAGAAAACAAAAUCCUAGCGCUCUUUGUUCCCUGUUUCCAGACACCUGUCAGUUCAUUCACAAGCAGUGCUGGAGGCACAGUCCAAGUGUGUAUGUCCAGGCACUCAGACUUUUACAGGGAAUCAAGUUACUUCUAAUGCUGCACAAUCAUAGUUUCAGGGGAUGAAUAAACAAUGUUUGUUGUGGGCCGAGGGUCUGCAAUUUAAAAUGCUUCUUAUGUAUGGAUUUCUCAUAGAAGUCAGUGCCACUGCCGCAAACAUGCAAUAUAAUCAUCUUGUACUCAGAGACCAAAUCUCGGUGAUUCAUACUGUAGCUCCUCUCAUGCCGUUUGUUCCCUGGGACUCAAAAAUACUACGGCUGCUGUUUUGGAAUUAAGGAAGACAGUAGAAAAAAUAAUGGCAGAAGAAUCAAUCAAUCUAUUUACUAACCUAACCUAAGCUCCUUUGUAUGCCAAUCUAACACUUCUACCUCUACCAGCCUACCACACCUACCUAUACCUGCCUACUGCACCUACCUCUACCAGCCUACCAUACUUACCUAUACCAGUCAACCAUACCUACCUAUUCCAGCCUGCUACAGCUGUCAGUACUAGCCUUCUAUCCCUUCUUAUAUCAGUCUUCCACUCCUAUGUAUAUCUGUCUUCCAAACAUACCUACAUCUGCCUACAUGAAUUUUCUAAACCUACCUAUAAGAAGUACAAUAAUUACAUGUUUGAUUAUCUUUUUUGGUUCCCUCUGAUUGUCAGAUUAUUUUUAGAAACUGUUUAAAAUCCACAAUUCCAUACUUCCACGAGUCUUUUUCUCAUGAUGAGAGGUAGGCUUAGAUUAUGAUGGUAGCAAAAGGUACAAUUGGGGCGGGACAAUUCUGUAUUCUGUUAAUUAUGUUUUUAAUAAAUGCUGAUUGGCCAGUAGCCAGACCGGAAGUAUAGGUGAAACAACCAGACAGGAA
This is a non-coding RNA of Myodes glareolus (Bank vole), 1640 nucleotides long. NCBI's taxonomy places the organism in Eukaryota, Metazoa, Chordata, Mammalia, Rodentia, Cricetidae. The record is from RefSeq and is a predicted model, not a curated record.